RNAcentral lists this long non-coding RNA (421 nucleotides) under Homo sapiens (human). Its description in RNAcentral is "HSALNT0079201". The record is from RNAcentral. Lineage: Eukaryota; Metazoa; Chordata; Mammalia; Primates; Hominidae.
CAUCACCCUCCUGCCAGGGGUUGAAGUCAGGAAGUAGUUUAUUUUCGCUGAAACUGAAGGGGGAAGUUAAAGAGAAAAAUAGCUGCAACUUGGUCAAUUCAGGAAAACCAGGGAUAUUCUGAGGGACUCACAGGAUCAGAGCUGCGACACUUCUAACAUAUGAAUUCUCUCAAUUCUGAUGCCCUUUGACCUCUGCCACACAAUGCCAAGACAAACCCAGACCCCAGGCCCUGGAAACAGAGGAGGGGCAGGACGUGAUAGAGCUUCAGCAACAUGGAGAGGAGAUAGCCGGUCUGGCUAGGAUGGAAGAAAUGUACAUGGAGAAGAAAGACAGAAGAACCAUCACUGAGCACUAAACUAAUCAGCCAUAAUGUGCAGAUUGACUGGCAAGCCUAUCACCACCUUGAUAACAGAUGACAUU